UACGUAGGGUGCAAGCGUUGUCCGGAAUUAUUGGGCGUAAAGAGCUCGUAGGCGGUUUGUCGCGUCUGCUGUGAAAUCCCGAGGCUCAACCUCGGGUCUGCAGUGGGUACGGGCAGACUGGAGUGCGGUAGGGGAGAAUGGAAUUCCUGGUGUAGCGGUGAAAUGCGUAGAUAUCUGGAGGAAUACCGGUGGCGAAGGCGGCAUCCUGGACCGAGAUUGACGCUGAUGAGCGAAAGCUAGGGGAGCAAACGGG
This 253-nucleotide ribosomal RNA is filed under the name uncultured bacterium. Its description in RNAcentral is "partial 16S ribosomal RNA". It matches the Rfam family "Bacterial small subunit ribosomal RNA", at positions 524 to 776 of the family's 1533-position model. The record is from RNAcentral.